This 253-nucleotide ribosomal RNA is filed under the name uncultured bacterium. RNAcentral's name for it is "partial 16S ribosomal RNA". It matches the Rfam family "Bacterial small subunit ribosomal RNA", at positions 524 to 776 of the family's 1533-position model. The record is from RNAcentral.
UACGUAGGGGGCGAGCGUUAUCCGGAUUCACUGGGUGUAAAGGGAGCGUAGACGGCCAUGCAAGCCAGGGGUGAAAGCCCGGGGCCCAACCCCGGGACUGCCCUUGGAACUGCAUGGCUGGAGUGCGGGAGGGGCAGGCGGAAUUCCUGGUGUAGUGGUGAAAUGCGUAGAUAUCAGGAGGAACACCGGCGGCGAAGGCGGCCUGCUGGACCGCGACUGACGUUGAGGCUCGAAAGCGUGGGGAGCGAACAGG